AUGAUUGCUAAUCUCAGUACUUCAUCUUGCAAGAGGAAGGAUAAAUUGCUUGACAAGCAAAAAGAGGUUCUUUUGGAUAAGAUUAAGAGUGGUGAGAUGCCGACGGGAAGAGGGAAAAAUCAAGAAACAUCCUUGGUCAGACCUGAAGAUACAAGAUGGGGCUCUCAUUACACAACCUUAUCUCGCAUUGAAUCAAUGUGGGAUGCAGUCAUAGAGGUUUUGGGCAUUGUUGAGGAUGAUGUGCGUGUUUCAUGUAGGGCUGGAGGUUUGGUUCAUCAAAUGGAGACUUUUAGCUUUGUGUUCAUCCUGAAGAUGAUGCUAAAAAUCCUUCGCAUGACAAAUGAUUUGUCUCUUCUAUUGCAAAAGAAGGAUCAAAAUAUUGUUCAGGCAAUGUCAUUGGUUACGGAUGUGAGAACACGUUUGAUCAACUGGAGAAAUAAUGGUUGGAAGACACUCUUGGAAGAUGUCAAAGCCUUUUGCGCCAAAAACGACAUUCCCAUACCAAAUAUGGAUGACAUCUUCACAAAGUGGGGGAAAUCAAGAAAAGGUGGACGAAACAAUGUCACGGCUGACCAUUUUUUCCGCGUGGACACCUUCUAUGCUGCCAUAGACUCCAUCACCACAGAGUUUGAUCAUCGUUUUAAU
This 645-nucleotide ribosomal RNA is filed under the name Triticum aestivum (bread wheat). RNAcentral describes it as "partial small subunit ribosomal RNA". The record is from RNAcentral. Lineage: Eukaryota; Viridiplantae; Streptophyta; Magnoliopsida; Poales; Poaceae.